UAGACUAUAAGUUAAUAAGACUAGGAGUUUUCAGCCCUCCAAGUAAAGGAUAGCCUUUUGGUCUAG
Molecule: transfer RNA, 66 nt
Filed under: Scrobicularia plana
Lineage: Eukaryota; Metazoa; Mollusca; Bivalvia; Cardiida; Scrobiculariidae
Description: tRNA-Trp
Source: RNAcentral